AGAUCUGAUGAAGCCGUGAACACGGCGAAACGCGUCAUCACGCAAGUUACGCACCAUACGUCACGCACUCUUGGAAGUCCCCUCCCCCCGGAAGUUUGAGGAAGCAGCAGUGGAAACGGCAAUAACGGCGGCAAACAAACAGAGGGAAUAGUCGACACCCUAAGCUGCAUAUAGCGGAACACUCUGUAACCCUGUACUGAAUGUGGAGGAAGGUGCUGGGCAAUAAAUAUAUCUUUUGGAUUAUUUCGUCUGUGCAGUCCUAUAUUUGAAGAAGCUGUUAUAGUUAGAGCAGGCUUUAUCUGCUCUACCUUUGUGAGUGCAAUAU
Pelobates cultripes (western spadefoot toad) is the source of this 325-nucleotide non-coding RNA. The record is from the annotation of a GenBank genome assembly. Lineage: Eukaryota; Metazoa; Chordata; Amphibia; Anura; Pelobatidae.